UUGGAGGGCAAGUCUGGUGCCAGCAGCCGCGGUGAUUCCAGCUCCAAUAGCGUAUAUUAAAGUCGUUGCAGUUAAAAAGCUCGUAGUUGAAUUUCGGGAUCAGAGUGUCGGUCGUGCCUCGGUACGCACUGGUAUUACUGGUUCCUACCUUCUGAAGAACCGCGAUGUCAUUAAUUUGGUGUCGUGGGGAAUCAGGACUGUUACUUUGAAAAAAUUAGAGUGUUUAAAGCAGGCUUACGCUUGAAUACAUUAGCAUGGAAUAAUGAAAUAGGACGUUUGAUUCUAUUUUGUUGGUUUCUAGGAUUGACGUAAUGAUUAAUAGGGAUAGUUGGGGGCAUUAGUAUUCAAUUGUCAGAGGUGAAAUUCUUGGAUUUAUUGAAGACUAACUACUGCGAAAGCAUUUGCCAAGGAUGUUUUCAUUAAUCGAGAACGAAAGUUAGGGGAUCGAAGACGAUCAGAUACCGUCGUAGUCUUAACCAUAAACUAUGCCGACUAGGGAUCGGAUGAUGUUAAUUUUUUAAUGACUCAUUCGGCGCCUUACGGGAAACCAAAGUGUUUGGGUUC
RNAcentral lists this ribosomal RNA (564 nucleotides) under uncultured Glomeromycotina. RNAcentral's name for it is "SSU rRNA". It matches the Rfam family "Eukaryotic small subunit ribosomal RNA", at positions 548 to 1114 of the family's 1831-position model. The record is from RNAcentral. Lineage: Eukaryota; Fungi; Glomeromycota.